CAGCAGUAGGGAAUAUUGCUCAAUGGGGGAAACCCUGAAGCAGCAACGCCGCGUGGAGGAUGAAGGUUUUAGGAUUGUAAACUCCUUUUGCUAGAGAAGAUAAUGACGGUAUCUAACGAAUAAGCACCGGCUAACUCCGUGCCAGCAGCCGCGGUAAUACGGAGGGUGCAAGCGUUACUCGGAAUCACUGGGCGUAAAGAGCGCGUAGGCGGGAUAGUCAGUCAGGUGUGAAAUCCUAUGGCUUAACCAUAGAACUGCAUUUGAAACUAUUAUUCUAGAGUGUGGGAGAGGUAGGUGGAAUUCUUGGUGUAGGGGUAAAAUCCGUAGAGAUCAAGAGGAAUACUCAUUGCGAAGGCGACCUGCUGGAACAUUACUGACGCUGAUUGCGCGAAAGCGUGGGGAGCAAACAGGAUUAGA
RNAcentral lists this ribosomal RNA (417 nucleotides) under uncultured Helicobacter sp. Its description in RNAcentral is "bacterial SSU rRNA". It matches the Rfam family "Bacterial small subunit ribosomal RNA", at positions 349 to 782 of the family's 1533-position model. The record is from RNAcentral. Lineage: Bacteria; Pseudomonadati; Campylobacterota; Epsilonproteobacteria; Campylobacterales; Helicobacteraceae.